ACAUGAAGACCUUCCAGGAUGAAAUCUUCGACCU
RNAcentral lists this non-coding RNA (34 nucleotides) under Gossypium hirsutum (cotton). The record is from RNAcentral. Lineage: Eukaryota; Viridiplantae; Streptophyta; Magnoliopsida; Malvales; Malvaceae.